UUAUUUCUGAGUUGAGCAGCAAAUUUCCCUUAUCAUGAACAACUCAUUUCUUUAACCUUUUUUCCUGUGUCAACAAAUCAAAUAUGCCUCUAGCAAGCCUGUACUCCAGGCGCAGUAGGGUGUUUGGAUCUUGACCCCAUCUCUAAGGCUUUUUCUUCCUCUUUCAGCCCAUUGGUACCAAUAUGUUCCUUCUGCUUGUUUAUAUACUCCAGGCAAAACUGGGAGGGGCUAGGUUGAAGGGACACAGGGAGAGGAGGACUGGCUGGACUGAGGGCAUAGAUAACGAGUUCUGGCUCAGCAGGGUCAGCCUGGCCUGCGAUCAUGAAGAAGAGAGGUGGGGAUGGUUGGUAAAAAAGGCAGGAGUCGAGCGGAGGAGGCAAAAGGGGUGCUCAUGGGGCAGUGGGAUGAGGAAGAAGGAAACAACCAAUUUAGGUCUCAGGUCCACUUAGGCUAUGAAGGGCAAACAGAGAAAUCUGUUCUAUCUUCCCUCCAUCCCUUCUUGGGGAAGGACAAACAACGAAGGAGGCCCGCUACCUCCACGCCUCUCCGGACCUAGCUCCUUAACGGCCCCUGGAGAACUCGCGAUCAAAAUUAGACCUCCGAGCUGCCCAAAGGGACCCGGAAGUGCACGCCGAGGACCCGAGGUUCCAGCCGUCCCCAUGGAGGCCGGGGCCGCCCACCCUGCGGAGCGCGCCGAGCGGGCUGAAUGAUAUCUGCCUGUCCCUUGGGCCGUGUUCUGAACAACUUUUAGAGAGGAUCUUGGCUUUGGCGCAGCACCGGGGAUUGGACCCAGCCCAUGGAGAAGCUGCCUGAGCAGAUGUCCCCGGAGUCCCUGUGUCCAUCCCCCUAGCAGGAGCCUCGAAAGAACAAGGAUGGUGAGACCUAGACUGAGGAUCAUUUAAUUAUAAAGCAGAAAAUCUUGAAGUAGGGAUACGACUACAUGAAGGAGAUGAAUGUGAACAAAACAAAUGUGAGGGAGCCUAUGAAUAUGGACGAAACUUCAGUAAUAUCGCAAACCUUAUCCAACAGCCACAAACUCUUAUUGAAGAGAAAUCUCCAAUGUGUAACAUAUGUGGAAAAUUAUUCAAGCGGAACUCUUACCUUAUUCAGCAUGAAAAAAUCCACACACAAGAGAAACCUUAUGAGUGUCAUGAAUGUGGAAAAGCCUUUGGACAUAGUUCAAACCUUAUGCAGCAUCAAAGAAUACAUACUGAAGAGAAACCCUAUGAAUGUAGUGAGUGUAGGAAGACCUUCCGGCGCAGCUCACACCUCAUCCAGCAUCAGAUAAUUCAUACAGGAGAGAUGCCUUAUAAGUGUAAUGAAUGUGGAAAAGCUUUUGGUGGGAGCUCAAGUCUUAUUCGACAUCAGAGAAUCCACACUCAGGAAAAACCCUGUGAAUGUACUGCAUGUGGGAAGGCCUUCAGCCAGAGCUAGAAUCUAACAGAUCAUCAGCGAGUUCACACCAAAGAGAGACCAUAUGAAUGCAAUGACUGUGGGAAAACUUACAGUUGUAACUCGCACCUUAUUGAGCAUCAGAGAGUCCAUACAGGGGAGGCUCCUUAUGACUGUAAUGAGUGUGGGAAAUCUUUUAGUAGGAGUUCAUUCCUUAUUAAACAUCAUAGAAUUCACACUGGAGAGAGACCCUAUGAAUGUAGUGAAUGUGGGAAGGCCUUUAGUCGGAACUCCCACCUUAUUCAGCAUCAGAAAACUCACAGUGGAGUCAAACCCUCUGAACGUAAAGAAUGUGGGAAAACCUUCAAGUAUAGUUCAUCCCUUAUUAAUCAUCAGGGAAUCCAUAUAAGGGAGAAGCCAUGAAUGAAAUGAAGGUGGUAAAGCCUUUGGUCAGACCUCAGCUCUUCCUGAACACCAGAGAACUUGAGCUGGGGAGAAACCCUUUGGGUAUAGUAAGUGUGGACGGCCGUCAUUCCUAGUUCAACUCUUAUUAAGACCUGAAAGUCCACAUGGUGGACAAAUCUCAUGGCUGUGUUCAGUGUAUGAACACCUUUAGACAGAGUUCCUGCCUUAUUCAACAUCAGCAGGUUCACUUUGGGGGAAUGAUAGCUACGGGGAAGGCCUCGCUGUGUGUCAGAGAGUCUACACGAAAGGGGCAUGAUGCAGCACUGCAGAGGUGAUGACUAAAGUGGCACCUUUAGCACUUCUUUCAUUUGAUACUGAGGAUCUACAUCAAAGGGAGAUUCUGGGGGCCGGCCCUGUGGCUUAGUGGUUAAGUGUGUGUGCUCCGCUACUGACGGCCUGGGU
This is a long non-coding RNA of Diceros bicornis minor, 2259 nucleotides long. RefSeq lists it as uncharacterized. The transcript is spliced from 3 exons. Lineage: Eukaryota; Metazoa; Chordata; Mammalia; Perissodactyla; Rhinocerotidae. The record is from RefSeq and is a predicted model, not a curated record.